CAAGAAAGAAACUCUUCUUUCCCCUCAACUUGCGUGACUCUGGAUAAAGUAACCGGAUGUACUACCCCCUACCGAACAGGACUCGUUGACGAUUGGGAACAAAUAGGGGUGCAAGAAAUUCGUUUUGUAAUCACUGUUAACUCCACACUGACUCAAGAGAUCGUUUUUGACGGAUAUAAUUCGACUAACUUUGACUGGUUCUCCGGAAGUCGGGUCAAGUCGUCCACGUGGUCUGACGUCACAAACACACAGACGUACUUUUAUUUCUGUUUACCAGGUGAUCAAAGAGGUACAAUCACUAGAGUUUGGACCAUUAUAAAGUCAUACCAUGGGUGCGCAGGUGACAUGGGA
Molecule: long non-coding RNA, 351 nt
Organism: Saccostrea echinata
Lineage: Eukaryota; Metazoa; Mollusca; Bivalvia; Ostreida; Ostreidae
Exons: 3
Source: RefSeq, a predicted model, not a curated record